Suricata suricatta (meerkat) is the source of this 715-nucleotide long non-coding RNA. RefSeq lists it as uncharacterized. The record is from RefSeq and is a predicted model, not a curated record. The transcript has 3 exons. Lineage: Eukaryota; Metazoa; Chordata; Mammalia; Carnivora; Herpestidae.
AGUCAUGGAUCUAAAUUCUGAGACCCAAAUGAGGGGGAAGGCCAACCAGGACUACUUCUUGUCCAUAGCCCAGCUGUAGAAUACCAAAUUCACCUUACCUCUGGUACUUCCCCACACUAUCAUCUGUUCUUGAUGAUGACCUGCUCCCUACACCCUCCCCUGCUGACUCAUUCCUAUUUUGUGUCAUGCUACAUGCUGGAAUUGACAAGACUGGCUUGGCAAAUGUGUGCAGUUGUCUACUAUGUACAGGUCAACCCAAGUCUCCCCCUUCUGUCAUGCUCUUCCCACCAUCCCCUGAGGAGCUCUGAACCAACAAGGCCACCCUGGUGUGCCUCGUCAGUGACUUCUACCCCAGUGGUUUGACGGUGGCCUGGAAGGUAGAUGGCACUCCCAUCACCCAGGGUGUGGAGACCACCGAGCCCUCCAAACAGAGCAACAACAAGUACGCAGCCAGCAGCUACCCGAGCUUGUCACCUGACCAGUGGAAAUCUCGUAGCAGGUUUACCUGUCAGGUCACACAUGAAGGGAGCACUGUGGAGAAGAAUGUGGUCCCUGAAGAGUGCUCUUAAGUCCCUGAGACUGUCAGAGAUGGGAGCCUUCCUCAUCUAGACACCACUUCUCCAGCUCAUCAUGUACCCCUGAAAAACAACCCCUGGAUAAGCUCAGAUCAGUAAGGUCAUACACUCUCCCUGUCUCUACUUGUGUUCAAUAAAGA